RNAcentral lists this ribosomal RNA (1496 nucleotides) under uncultured Neisseria sp. Its description in RNAcentral is "16S ribosomal RNA". It matches the Rfam family "Bacterial small subunit ribosomal RNA". The record is from RNAcentral. Lineage: Bacteria; Pseudomonadati; Pseudomonadota; Betaproteobacteria; Neisseriales; Neisseriaceae.
GAGUUUGAUCAUGGCUCAGAUUGAACGCUGGCGGCAUGCUUUACACAUGCAAGUCGGGCGGCAGCACAGAGAAGCUUGCUUCUUGGGUGGCGAGUGGCGAACGGGUGAGUAACAUAUCGGAACGUACCGAGUAAUGGGGGAUAACUAAUCGAAAGAUUAGCUAAUACCGCAUAUUCUCUGAGGAGGAAAGCAGGGGACCUUCGGGCCUUGCGUUAUUCGAGCGGCCGAUAUCUGAUUAGCUAGUUGGUGGGGUAAAGGCCUACCAAGGCGACGAUCAGUAGCGGGUCUGAGAGGAUGAUCCGCCACACUGGGACUGAGACACGGCCCAGACUCCUACGGGAGGCAGCAGUGGGGAAUUUUGGACAAUGGGCGCAAGCCUGAUCCAGCCAUGCCGCGUGUCUGAUGAAGGCCUUCGGGUUGUAAAGGACUUUUGUCAGGGAAGAAAAGGCUGUUGCUAAUAUCGACAGCUGAUGACGGUACCUGAAGAAUAAGCACCGGCUAACUACGUGCCAGCAGCCGCGGUAAUACGUAGGGUGCGAGCGUUAAUCGGAAUUACUGGGCGUAAAGCGAGCGCAGACGGUUACUUAAGCAGGAUGUGAAAUCCCCGGGCUCAACCUGGGAACUGCGUUNUGAACUGGGUGANUAGAGUGUGUCANAGGGAGGUAGAAUUCCACGUGUAGCAGUGAAAUGCGUAGAGACGUGGAGGAAUACCGAUGGCGGAGGCAGCCUCCUGGGAUAACACUGACGUUCAUGCUCGAAAGCGUGGGUAGCAAACAGGAUUAGAUACCCUGGUAGUCCACGCCCUAAACGAUGUCAAUUAGCUGUUGGGCAACUUGAUUGCUUAGUAGCGUAGCUAACGCGUGAAAUUGACCGCCUGGGGAGUACGGUCGCAAGAUUAAAACUCAAAGGAAUUGACGGGGACCCGCACAAGCGGUGGAUGAUGUGGAUUAAUUCGAUGCAACGCGAAGAACCUUACCUGGUCUUGACAUGUACGGAAUCCUCCAGAGACGGAGGAGUGCCUUCGGGAGCCGUAACACAGGUGCUGCAUGGCUGUCGUCAGCUCGUGUCGUGAGAUGUUGGGUUAAGUCCCGCAACGAGCGCAACCCUUGUCAUUAGUUGCCAUCAUUUAGUUGGGCACUCUAAUGAGACUGCCGGUGACAAGCCGGAGGAAGGUGGGGAUGAUGUCAAGUCCUCAUGGCCCUUAUGACCAGGGCUUCACACGUCAUACAAUGGUCGGCACAGAGGGUAGCCAAGCCGCGAGGUGGAGCCAAUCUCACAAAACCGAUCGUAGUCCGGAUUGCACUCUGCAACUCGAGUGCAUGAAGUCGGAAUCGCUAGUAAUCGCAGGUCAGCAUACUGCGGUGAAUACGUUCCCGGGUCUUGUACACACCGCCCGUCACACCAUGGGAGUGGGGGAUACCAGAAGUAGGUAGGGUAACCGCAAGGAGCCCGCUUACCACGGUAUGCUUCAUGACUGGGGUGAAGUCGUAACAAGG